AAGCUUUUCAUUAUCCAGAAUCAUUAUGCAGGGAUUUCUAAACCCAUUGAACAUAAUGAUCCAACGCCAUCUCCCAAUCUUGAAUUCCUUGUAUUUGAGGCAGAGGAAGAUGACGUUGAAGGGGAUUCCUGACGAGAUUACCCGUCUUCUUGAGCACAAAAGAAGCUCAUUCAGCUGUAUCAUGAGAAUCAGCAAAACAGUCAAACUGGGGCAUUGCAAAUGCAAUCAAAAAA
RNAcentral lists this long non-coding RNA (233 nucleotides) under Lathyrus oleraceus (garden pea). RNAcentral describes it as "Pisum sativum (pea) long non-coding RNA (PSAT_LNC026849)". Lineage: Eukaryota; Viridiplantae; Streptophyta; Magnoliopsida; Fabales; Fabaceae. The record is from RNAcentral.